This 505-nucleotide ribosomal RNA is filed under the name uncultured bacterium. RNAcentral describes it as "partial 16S ribosomal RNA". It matches the Rfam family "Bacterial small subunit ribosomal RNA", at positions 28 to 507 of the family's 1533-position model. The record is from RNAcentral.
GACGAACGCUGGCGGCGUGCCUAAUACAUGCAAGUAGAACACACAGUUUAUACCGUAGCUUGCUACACCAUAGACUGUGAGUUGCGAACGGGUGAGUAACGCGUAGGUAACCUGCCUGGUAGCGGGGGAUAACUAUUGGAAACGAUAGCUAAUACCGCAUAAUAUUGAUUAUUGCAUGAUAAUUAAUUGAAAGGUGCAAUUGCACCACUACCAGAUGGACCUGCGUUGUAUUAGCUAGUAGGUGAGGUAACGGCUCACCUAGGCGACGAUACAUAGCCGACCUGAGAGGGUGAUCGGCCACACUGGGACUGAGACACGGCCCAGACUCCUACGGGAGGCAGCAGUAGGGAAUCUUCGGCAAUGGACGAAAGUCUGACCGAGCAACGCCGCGUGAGUGAAGAAGGUUUUCGGAUCGUAAAGCUCUGUUGUAAGAGAAGAACGGGUGUGAGAGUGGAAAGUUCACACUGUGACGGUAUCUUACCAGAAAGGGACGGCUAACUACGUG